Molecule: ribosomal RNA, 433 nt
Filed under: uncultured bacterium
Lineage: Bacteria
Description: partial 16S ribosomal RNA
Rfam family: Bacterial small subunit ribosomal RNA
Source: RNAcentral
AACGAACGCUGGCGGCAUGCCUAACACAUGCAAGUCGAACGAGACCUUCGGGCCUAGUGGCGCACGGGUGCGUAACGCGUGGGAACCUGCCCUUAGGUUCGGAAUAACUCCCCGAAAGGGGUGCUAAUACCGGAUAAUGUCUUCGGACCAAAGAUUUAUCGCCUUUGGAUGGGCCCGCGUUGGAUUAGCGAGUUGGUAGGGUAAAAGCCUACCAAGGCGACGAUCCAUAGCUGGUCUGAGAGGAUGAUCAGCCACACUGGGACUGAGACACGGCCCAGACUCCUACGGGAGGCAGCAGUGGGGAAUAUUGGACAAUGGGCGAAAGCCUAAUCCAGCAAUGCCGCGUGAGUGAUGAAGGCCUUAGGGUUGUAAAGCUCUUUUACCCGGGAUGAUAAUGACAGUACCGGGAGAAUAAGCACCGGCUAACUCCGUG